RNAcentral lists this transfer RNA (70 nucleotides) under Trichonephila inaurata madagascariensis. RNAcentral's name for it is "tRNA-Arg". The stretch from base 5 to 62 matches the Rfam family "tRNA", at positions 8 to 63 of the family's 71-position model. Rfam says of the family: Transfer RNA (tRNA) molecules are approximately 80 nucleotides in length. Their secondary structure includes four short double-helical elements and three loops (D, anti-codon, and T loops). Further hydrogen bonds mediate the characteristic L-shaped molecular structure. tRNAs have two regions of fundamental functional importance: the anti-codon, which is responsible for specific mRNA codon recognition, and the 3' end, to which the tRNAs corresponding amino acid is attached (by aminoacyl-tRNA synthetases). tRNAs cope with the degeneracy of the genetic code in two manners: having more than one tRNA (with a specific anti-codon) for a particular amino acid; and 'wobble' base-pairing, i.e. permitting non-standard base-pairing at the 3rd anti-codon position. The record is from RNAcentral. Lineage: Eukaryota; Metazoa; Arthropoda; Arachnida; Araneae; Nephilidae.
GCUUUAGCGCAAUGGAUAGUGUGUUGAACUUCUAAUUCAAAGGUUGUGGGUUCGAAUCCCACCUGGAAUG